UUCACGGCAAGACGAUUGAGAUCGGAUUUACAAUUAACAAGUUCACCUAAUCUACUCCAGGUGGCUAAUGCUAUCUCGGUUACUCCCACUCUAUGGUCCGCGUUGACGUAUGUCCGCUUCAAUGGUGCUGUCGAAGCUCUAUGUUCUAUCAGCUAACCUCCAAAGUUGAAUUGUCAAACUUCGCUGGGUGGUUCCAAACUUCGAUUUCCAUUUCCAUCGGUGAAGGAAAUGCCGGAAAAUAGUGGAAACAGUGCAGGACGGAAUCUUCAAAGGUGGACUUCGCAAAGCCGGCUCCGGGCACAUGUCAUGGGGGUUAACAGUUACCAAUAUCAUCGAACCAGGGUAGUUUGGAAUACCAGACAGCGUCGUUGGCUCCCCAUGUGACGGUGGUGCAAUUCCCCAAUAGUGUUGGAGUCAGCAGCAGUUGUAGGUUGCAUAAAAAUGAGAGAAAAGCAUUUAGUAUAUUGAUAUCCUGGAGCAGAGGGAUGACAGGGUGUACGGUGAAAUUUCGGAAGAGACGGUGUGUGGGAUACCACUUACCCACCGGAUGACAGUCAGACGGUCCUGUUUGGUGGCAAUAAAGCUGCUCAGAACAAACAAAACUGUACGGAACAGAAUCUUCCAACACUGGCAGACCAGGUUAGAUCUAGCGGUUAUGGUGGAAUCGCGGAAAUAUAGGUCAUAAACAACGGGUGAAAUCACUUUCACAACGGUAUACGGAC
This is a long non-coding RNA of Coccinella septempunctata (seven-spotted ladybird), 722 nucleotides long. RefSeq lists it as uncharacterized. Lineage: Eukaryota; Metazoa; Arthropoda; Insecta; Coleoptera; Coccinellidae. The transcript is spliced from 4 exons. The record is from RefSeq and is a predicted model, not a curated record.